GUCCACAAACAAAACUAAUUAUCUAAUAUUCUAAAUUUCUAAUUCCUAAUUACUAAUACCUAUUCCUCAUUCUAGAGAAAGACAGAAACUUUCCGCCUGAAACCCUAACAGCAGCAGUCGCCGUCUUCCACCAGUAGCCAUCAAUCCUUUCCGCCUCCGCUCGUCGUCGUCUACUUCCACCAGUCGUCGGUCUCCCUCCUCUCGCCAUCUCGUCUCUCCAAUUCUCCAGGUACUCUUCUUAUCCUCGUCUAAAUGAUUUAGAGAUGGAUGACAGGAUGAGAUAUGUCGGUCGUCGGAAAUGUCCAGGUACUCAAUUACUAAUACCUAUUCCUCAUUCUAGAGAAAGACAGAAACUUUCCGCCUGAAACCCUAAUAGCAGCAGUCGUCGUCUUCCACCAGUAGCCACCAUUCCUUUCCGCCUCCGCUCGUCGUCGUCUACUUCCACCAGUCGUCGGUAUCCCUCAUCUCGCCAUCUCGUCUCUCCAAUUCUCCAGGUACUCUUCUUAUCCUCAUCUAAAUGAUUUAGAGAUGGAUGACAGGAUGAGAUAUGUCGGUCGUCGGAAAUGUCCAGGUACUCUCUCGAAAUAAUUUUUUCGAGGAGUUGGGGACUUUAGUGCUAAUAGAUUAUAAGGUAAACCUCAAUUUUUUCUGCAAUAACUUUAAUUUCUAUGAAAAAUGCGAAAAAAAUGACAAUAUUUGUUGUAAUAUAAACCUCAAUAACCUUAAGGCUAGAUAAAUC
Molecule: long non-coding RNA, 739 nt
Filed under: Nicotiana benthamiana
Lineage: Eukaryota; Viridiplantae; Streptophyta; Magnoliopsida; Solanales; Solanaceae
Description: long non-coding RNA (NBEN_LNC013349)
Source: RNAcentral